GGAAAGACAGACACGGUUGGAAAAAAAUGGCAAGAAAGAGGGAAGAGAAGGAAGAGAGAGGGAAGAGAGGAAAUAAAUUGUGACUAGUGUAUUGGUGACCUCUACACAUCAUUCAGGAAUAAACCCGCUUUGCGUCACCAUGUGGUACAAAUCUGUAUUUUGGCCUUUGAAGUUAUGUUUUCCAAUUCCAUUAAUCUCUUCGUCUCUCACACUCCCACUCAUGGAUUUGAAAGCAUUGGAUUGAGAACCUGAGCCCUAGGAUCAUCCACCUGGUUGUGCUGCUGCUCCUGUUCUGCCUGCCGCUAGGGAACUCUGACCUGUUCACUGGACGUGCUACCUUGUCCUGGACCUGCUGUUUUUGACUCUCUUUCUCUCUACCACACCUGCUAUCUUGACCUCUGAAUGCUCGGCUAUGAAAAGCCAACUGACAUUUAUUCCAGAGGUACUGACCUGUUGCAUCCUAUACAACCACUGUGAUUAUUAUUUGACCCUGUUGGUCAUCUAGGAACAUUUGAACAUCUUGAAGAACAAUCUGACCUUAAAUGGCCAUUUAGUCUUUUAAUCUCCACCAGGCACAGCCAGAAGAGGACUGUCCACCCCUCAUAGCCUGGUUCCUCUCUAGGUUUCUUCCUAGGUUCCAGCCUUUCUAGGGAGUUUUUCCUAGCCAUUGUGCUUCUACAUCUGCAUUGCUUGCUGUUUGGUUAAGUUUCUGUAUAACACUUUGUGACAUCUGCUGAUGUAAAAAGGGCUUUAUGAAUACAUUUGAUUGAUUGAGUAGGGAAGGAGGAGGAGGAGUCGUCCACAGGGUGAGAAGGCUGCGGAGCAUGGAGAACAGUGGUUGAAGUGGUUCUUGUACCGCCGCACACACCAAUGGAGCGAAAACAGAGGGGGAGAAAACUACUACUGCUGCUCCAUUUGAAAGGGCAAUAGUGACAUUACAUGAUUCUGCUUGACUCUGCUGUGCAAACAUCAGCCUUAGUACUGGUAUCCACACAUGUUGGGUGGUUGUGUGUGUGGGAUUAACCAGGAUGCCAAAUAUUUCCACUAGCUGCAAAAAUGCCUAGUUUUGCAGACACACACACACACACACACACACACACACACACACACACACACACACACACACAC
Molecule: long non-coding RNA, 1128 nt
Filed under: Salmo salar (Atlantic salmon)
Lineage: Eukaryota; Metazoa; Chordata; Actinopteri; Salmoniformes; Salmonidae
Description: lncRNA (ENSSSAG00000083031.1)
Source: RNAcentral